CUGGCNAUCAGGACAGCAGACAGGGAUGCCGGAAUCGGUGGUGUAGCGGUGAAAUGCUUAGAUAUCACGAAGAANUCCGAUCGNGAAGGCAGGUGUCCGGGCUGCAACUGACGCUGAGGCUCGAAAGUGUGGGUAUCAAACAGG
This 144-nucleotide ribosomal RNA is filed under the name uncultured Prevotella sp. RNAcentral's name for it is "partial 16S ribosomal RNA". It matches the Rfam family "Bacterial small subunit ribosomal RNA", at positions 633 to 776 of the family's 1533-position model. Lineage: Bacteria; Pseudomonadati; Bacteroidota; Bacteroidia; Bacteroidales; Prevotellaceae. The record is from RNAcentral.